GGCCUACCAAGGCGACGACGGGUAGCCGGCCUGAGAGGGUGACCGGCCACACUGGGACUGAGACACGGCCCAGACUCCUACGGGAGGCAGCAGUGGGGAAUAUUGCGCAAUGGGCGGAAGCCUGACGCAGCGACGCCGCGUGGGGGAUGACGGCCUUCGGGUUGUAAACCUCUUUCAGCAGGGACGAAGCGAAAGUGACGGUACCUGCAGAAGAAGCACCGGCCAACUACGUGCCAGCAGCCGCGGUAAUACGUAGGGUGCAAGCGUUGUCCGGAAUUAUUGGGCGUAAAGAGCUCGUAGGCGGUUUGUUGCGUCGGCUGUGAAAUCCCGAGGCUCAUCCUCGGGUCUGCAGUCGAUACGAGCAAACUAGAGUGUUGCAGGGGAGACUGGAAUUCCUGGUGUAGCGGUGAAAUGCGCAGAUAUCAGGAGGAACACCGGUGGCGAAGGCGGGUCUCUGGGAAACAACUGACGCUGAGGAACGAAAGCGUGGGUAGCAAACAGGAUUAGAUACCCUGGUAGUCCACGCCGUAAACGGUGGGCGCUAGGUGUGGG
Molecule: ribosomal RNA, 552 nt
Filed under: uncultured Actinomycetes bacterium
Lineage: Bacteria; Bacillati; Actinomycetota; Actinomycetes
Description: bacterial SSU rRNA
Rfam family: Bacterial small subunit ribosomal RNA
Source: RNAcentral